RNAcentral lists this ribosomal RNA (826 nucleotides) under uncultured archaeon. RNAcentral describes it as "bacterial SSU rRNA". It matches the Rfam family "Archaeal small subunit ribosomal RNA", at positions 1 to 805 of the family's 1478-position model. The record is from RNAcentral.
UUCCGGUUGAUCCUGCCGGACCCGACUGCUAUCGGAGUGGGGCUAAGCCAUGCGAGUCUUACGUCUCUUGACUGCAAGAGGCGUGGCGACCGGCUCAGUAACACGUAGCCAACCUAACCUAGAGACGUGGACAACCCCGGGAAACUGGGAUUAAUCCACGAUAGAUCAAGGCUCCUGGAAUGGGCUUUGGUCCAAAAGGAUGGAUAAGCAUGUUUUGUCCAUCUGCUCUAGGAUGGGGCUGCGGCCGAUCAGGUUGUUGAUGGGGUAAUGGCCCACCAAGCCUAUAACCGGUACGGGCUUUGAGAGAAGGAGCCCGGAGAUGGACACUGAGAUAAGGGUCCAGGCCCUACGGGGCGCAGCAGGCGCGAAACCUUCGCAAUGCGCGAAAGCGUGACGAGGUUACUUCGAGUGCCACUCGCUGAGGGUGGCUUUUCCCAAAUCUAAAAAGCUUGGGGAAUAAGGGGAGGGUAAGUCUGGUGUCAGCCGCCGCGGUAAUACCAGCUCCCCGAGUGGUUGGGACAUUUAUUGGGCCUAAAGCAUUCGUAGCCGGUCUUGUAGGUCUCCUGUUAAACUCAACGGCUCAACCGUUGAACUGCAGGAGAUACCGCAGGACUAGGAGGCGGGAGAGGCGGACGGUACUCCAUGGGUAGCGGCAAAAUGUUCUGAUCCAUGGAAGACCACCAGUGGCGAAGGCGGUCCGCCAGAACGCGCUCGACGGUGAGGGAUGAAAGCUGGGGGAGCGAACCGGAUUAGAUACCCGGGUAGUCCCAGCCGUAAACGAUGCGAGCUAGGUGAUGGAAUGGCUACGUGCCAUUCCAGUGCCGCA